GAGUUUGAUCAUGGCUCAGAUUGAACGCUGGCGGCAUGCUUUACACAUGCAAGUCGAACGGCAGCACAAGGAGCUUGCUCCUGGGUGGCGAGUGGCGAACGGGUGAGUAAUGUAUCGGAACGUGCCUGGUAGUGGGGGAUAACCACUCGAAAGAGUGGCUAAUACCGCAUGAGAUCUCUGGAUGAAAGCGGGGGACCUUUUGGCCUCGCGCUACUGGAGCGGCCGAUAUCAGAUUAGGUAGUUGGUGGGGUAAAGGCCUACCAAGCCUGCGAUCUGUAGCUGGUCUGAGAGGACGACCAGCCACACUGGGACUGAGACACGGCCCAGACUUCUACGGGAGGCAGCAGUGGGGAAUUUUGGACAAUGGGCGCAAGCCUGAUCCAGCAAUGCCGCGUGCAGGACGAAGGCCCUCGGGUUGUAAACUGCUUUUGUACAGAACGAAAACUCUCUGGUUAAUACCUGGGGAG
RNAcentral lists this ribosomal RNA (467 nucleotides) under Brachymonas sp. canine oral taxon 015. RNAcentral's name for it is "bacterial SSU rRNA". It matches the Rfam family "Bacterial small subunit ribosomal RNA", at positions 9 to 471 of the family's 1533-position model. The record is from RNAcentral. Lineage: Bacteria; Pseudomonadati; Pseudomonadota; Betaproteobacteria; Burkholderiales; Comamonadaceae.